RNAcentral lists this ribosomal RNA (427 nucleotides) under uncultured bacterium. RNAcentral's name for it is "bacterial SSU rRNA". It matches the Rfam family "Bacterial small subunit ribosomal RNA", at positions 355 to 774 of the family's 1533-position model. The record is from RNAcentral.
UGGGGAAUUUUGGACAAUGGGCGCAAGCCUGAUCCAGCAAUGCCGCGUGCAGGAUGAAGGCCUUCGGGUUGUAAACUGCUUUUGUACGGAGCGAAAAGGUCUGCCCUAAUACGGUGGGCUCAUGACGGUACCGUAAGAAUAAGCACUGGCUAACUACGUGCCAGCAGCCGCGGUAAUACGUAGGGUGCGAGCGUUAAUCGGAAUUACUGGGCGUAAAGCGUGCGCAGGCGGCUUUGUAAGACAGAGGUGAAAUCCCCGGGCUCAACCUGGGAAUUGCCUUAGUGACUGCAAGGCUUGAGUGCGGCAGAGGGGGAUGGAAUUCCGCGUGUAGCAGUGAAAUGCGUAGAUAUGCGGAGGAACACCGGUGGCGAAGGCAAUCCCCUGGGCCUGUACUGACGCUCAUGCACGAAAGCGUGGGGAGCAAACA